Molecule: long non-coding RNA, 1784 nt
Organism: Seriola aureovittata
Lineage: Eukaryota; Metazoa; Chordata; Actinopteri; Carangiformes; Carangidae
Exons: 2
Source: RefSeq, a predicted model, not a curated record
ACUAAUACACCCACUGACUUUUACACUCUCAAAACUAGGUCAGCUGUCUCCGGCACAGGCACAUGCCAAUUUUGUGAGGACACACCCACAUAUCACACAUGCUCUGCAAUACAGUAUUCUCUCCCAAACUCUGUGUCUGCCAACUUUAUUCUUAUGUAAUCGCAUUCAUUUUCCACUGCCCAUCCUUUCAUUAAUGUCGCAGCUCUCAUCUCGAGGAUAUCCCGGGUUAGAGAUACUGCACUCAGUCUCAGUGUGCAGGCGGGCUCACAGUGCAGGCUUGGCAGAACUAGCACCAUGCCAGCAGGUGUAUUUCAUCUUAUGGAUCAGGGUUAGCUGAGCUAUUAUAUUUCACUGCGGUAGAGCCUGUUUUUAAGAACUGAGCUGAGUUGAGUGGGUCAAGUGAGUCACUGAAACCAAGACAAAGCCUGUACAUAAAGAUGGAACACCACAGUAAAGACAAACACUACAGCAAACUUUCAUUUUCUGGUUUCUUUAGAAAUGUAUAUAUGGUUGUGUUUUACUGACAAUGAAUCGGAAGCGAAAACCUAAACUUUCAUGUCUAACCACGUUUCUGCCUCUGAAGUGUUUCGAUGCUGGUCCUUACACACUUGCAACAAAAUCUGUGCUGUCGUAUCAAGACACCAUCUGUGUUUUGAUAGCACUUGAAAAGCAAGGACAAGGGUAGCAUGAUGGAGGGAUGACGUUAUGGAUGAAGUAGCACAUGGUGGUCAAGGAGAGAACGGAGUGAUAGUAACAGAGGAGGAUGAAGGGACGGGAGAAAAAGGAGAGGGACAAGCAAUUCAGGGGCUCCCUGUAGUGUUGGGUAAACACAGAGCCUGUCUGUAUCCAUGGAGACAAACCCUGAGUGGAAUGAGACGGAGGGGAGCGGGAUGAGGUGGGGGCGGACAACACUGAAAAACAAGGUCAUAGCGCUUUCCCUUCUCUCCUUCCGUUCCGCCACUUGGCAUCAACAAAGGGAUGUUAUGUAACAGCUAUUUAUACCAGUGCUCCCUUUUCCCUCUCACCCUCCCUCUCAUGUCGGGCAGCACCACAUGCAAACCAAAUGGAGUUGCUGCUCGUCUCUGCUCUCCUCCAAGUCCUUUUCCUCCUUUGCUUUUCCUCGUCCUUCUUCCCUCAGAUCAGCCACUUUCUUUGUCAUUUUUCCAGCUAAAUGAGAGUGUGUCUACACCCAUUGUCUUUUUUUUUUGUUUGUUUGUUUGUUUGUUUUUUAUAACUAAUACAAGUAGAAUGCGCCUGCAAUGCAAGUAUUUUGGAGGGAAACAGAACAGCAUGCUAUGUGGUCACAUGCACAGAUGGCUGACGAGGGAAAUGUUACAAGUCGCCAUGUCACAACACAAUUUAAAGCUGUCUGAACCCUCUCACAGCCGUCACUGAAAAACUGGAAUGCGAGGAGCCGUGAGGAGCCAGCGAGUCUAGAAAGCACUAACUGCCUGCAAAAUAUCAAAGUUCCUCAGACAUCUAUGCAUUCACUUUGCAUGACAUUAAAAGGAGAGUGAGCGAGUGUGUGUGUGUGUGUGUUAGAGAGUGAAUGUGCAUCUUCAGUUAUUCUGUGUGGUUUAUUUCUGUGUGCUAUGUAGGUCAUGAGUAAAUAGUUAACUGUGUUACAUGAGAACAAGAUAUCCAAGACCCAACAGGUGCUCAGCUGGGCAUGACAAAUAAAGACAGUGUGCUUUCUUGAAGAGAGAAGUGAGCGAACGUGGACAAUUUGGCGGUUUAUGGAUUCAAGCUUCAAGCUGUCAGUAAAUUUUUUUUUUUUUUUUUUU